Molecule: ribosomal RNA, 484 nt
Filed under: uncultured bacterium
Lineage: Bacteria
Description: partial 16S ribosomal RNA
Rfam family: Bacterial small subunit ribosomal RNA
Source: RNAcentral
AUUGAACGCUGGCGGCAGGCCUAACACAUGCAAGUCGAGCGGAUGAAGGGAGCUUGCUCCUGGAUUCAGCGGCGGACGGCUGAGUAAUGCCUAGGAAUCUGCCUGGUAGUGGGGGAUAACGUCCGGAAACGGGCGCUAAUACCGCAUACGUCCUGAGGGAGAAAGUGGGGGAUCUUCGGACUUCACGCUAUCAGAUGAGCCUAGGUCGGAUUAGCUAGUUGGUGGGGUAAAGGCCUACCAAGGCGACGAUCCGUAACUGGUCUGAGAGGAUGAUCAGUCACACUGGAACUGAGACACGGUCCAGACUCCUACGGGAGGCAGCAGUGGGGAAUAUUGGGCAUUGGGCGAAAUCCUGAUCCAGCCAUGCCGCGUGUGUGAAGAAGGUCUUCGGAUUGUAAAGCACUUUAAGUUGGGAGGAAGGGCAGUAAGUUAAUACCUUGCUGUUUUGACGUUACCAACAGAAUAAGCACCGGCUAACUUCGUG